GACGAACGCUGGCGGCGUGCCUAACACAUGCAAGUCGAACGGAGAUUUCAGCAAUGAAAUCUUAGUGGCGAACGGGUGAGUAACGCGUAGACAACCUACCUUCUAGAUGGGGACAACACCGCGAAAGUGGUGCUAAUACCGAAUGUUGUAGUGAGAAUGCAUAUUCUUACUACUAAAGAUGGCCUCUAUUUAUAAGCUAUCGCUAGAAGAUGGGUCUGCGUCUGAUUAGCUAGUUGGUGAGGUAAUGGCUCACCAAGGCGACGAUCAGUAGCCGGUCUGAGAGGAUGAACGGCCACACUGGGACUGAGACACGGCCCAGACUCCUACGGGAGGCAGCAGUGGGGAAUCUUCCGCAAUGGACGAAAGUCUGACGGAGCAACGCCGCGUGAGUGAAGAAGGUUUUCGGAUCGUAAAACUCUGUUUUCAGGGACGAAUGUGCAGAUUGUGAAUAAUGAUUUGUAAUGACGGUACCUGAGUAGAAAGCCACGGCUAACUACGUGCCAGCCGCCGCAGUAAUAC
This 519-nucleotide ribosomal RNA is filed under the name uncultured bacterium. RNAcentral describes it as "bacterial SSU rRNA". It matches the Rfam family "Bacterial small subunit ribosomal RNA", at positions 28 to 526 of the family's 1533-position model. The record is from RNAcentral.